This 497-nucleotide ribosomal RNA is filed under the name uncultured bacterium. RNAcentral describes it as "partial 16S ribosomal RNA". It matches the Rfam family "Bacterial small subunit ribosomal RNA", at positions 28 to 507 of the family's 1533-position model. The record is from RNAcentral.
GAUGAACGCUGGCGGCGUGCCUAAUACAUGCAAGUCGAGCGAACAGACGAGGAGCUUGCUCCUCUGACGUUAGCGGCGGACGGGUGAGUAAAACGUGGAUAACCUACCUAUAAGACUGGGAUAACUUCGGGAAACCGGAGCUAAUACCGGGUAAUAUAUUGAACCGCAUGGUUCAAUAGUGAAAGACGGUUUUGCUGUCACUUAUAGAUGGAUCCGCGCCGCAUUAGCUAGUUGGUAAGGUAACGGCUUACCAAGGCAACGAUGCGUAGCCGACCUGAGAGGGUGAUCGGCCACACUGGAACUGAGACACGGUCCAGACUCCUACGGGAGGCAGCAGUAGGGAAUCUUCCGCAAUGGGCGAAAGCCUGACGGAGCAACGCCGCGUGAGUGAUGAAGGUCUUCGGAUCGUAAAACUCUGUUAUUAGGGAAGAACAAAUGUGUAAGUAACUAUGCACGUCUUGACGGUACCUAAUCAGAAAGCCACGGCUAACUACGUG